GGGGUUGUGGCUCAGUGGAAGAGCACUUGCCUAGCAUGUAUGAGGCACUGGGUUCGAUUCUCAGCACCA
Molecule: transfer RNA, 69 nt
Filed under: Marmota marmota marmota (Alpine marmot)
Lineage: Eukaryota; Metazoa; Chordata; Mammalia; Rodentia; Sciuridae
Also listed under: 2 other names
Rfam family: tRNA
About the family: Transfer RNA (tRNA) molecules are approximately 80 nucleotides in length. Their secondary structure includes four short double-helical elements and three loops (D, anti-codon, and T loops).
Source: Rfam by way of RNAcentral